AUGAGCAGGAUAUUGGUGAUCGGCGGGACGGGGAACAUCGGGCAGCACCUUGUGACGGCGAGCCUCAACGCCGGCCACCGGACGGCUGUGCUCGUCCGCCCGACCACCGUCGCACCCGACUCCGACAAGGCGAAGCUCUUGAACUCCCUCGAGGCCCGCGGAGUCAGCGUUGUCUACGUACCAGUGGACCACGGGAGCUUGGUGGCGGCGAUCAAGCAGCAUGGGGAGGUUGUAAUCUCCGCCGUCGGACACGGCAGGCCGGAGGAGCUGGACGGCCAGAUCAAGAUCAUCCAAGCGAUAAAGGAGGCUGGAGAUGUGAAGCGUUUUGUGCCAUCUGAAUUCGGGUGUGACGUGGAGCAUCAUGCCGAGCGCACCCUGGAGCCAGCAAAGAGCAUGAUAGUAGAAUCCAAGCUUCGAGUUCGGCGAGCCAUCACAGACGUAGGGAUUCCUCAUACCAUCAUCUGCAGCUACUGGGCUAUUGGCUUGCUGUUUUCUACACUCGGCAACUCCGGAGAAAAUGGCCCUCUGUCGACGGCGGUGGACAUCUUUGGUGACGAAAAAUCACGAGCCAUCUUUGUAGACGAGAAGGAUAUGAGCAUGCUGACCAUAAGAGCCGUGGAGGACCCACGAACGCUUGACAAGAUCCUGCACGUGCGCCCUCCCGCCAACAUGCGCUCCUUCGGCCAGCUCCUCCAUCUCCUGGAGAAGAAAACCGGCAGGACGUUCGAGAGGCACUACAUCACCGAACAGGAGCUCGCCAAGAAAAUCCAAGAGGCUCCAUUCCCUCUCAACUUUCAGCUGGCGAUGGUGCACUCGACGCUGGUGCACGCCGGGGCGUGUGAGCGCGCGGUCGACCCGGCUGUUGACGUGGAGGCGACGCGGCUGUACCCGGACGUACAGUUCCUCACGGUGGAGGAGUGCUUGGAUGGCCUUCUUCUCUGA
This 942-nucleotide ribosomal RNA is filed under the name Triticum aestivum (bread wheat). Its description in RNAcentral is "partial small subunit ribosomal RNA". Lineage: Eukaryota; Viridiplantae; Streptophyta; Magnoliopsida; Poales; Poaceae. The record is from RNAcentral.